GCCCCGGGACGACCCGGUGCCCGCACUGACGCUCGGGGACGGCCCCU
This 47-nucleotide non-coding RNA is filed under the name Corynebacterium doosanense CAU 212 = DSM 45436. RNAcentral describes it as "Corynebacterium sp. CAU 212 Guanidine-II riboswitch aptamer (mini-ykkC)". It matches the Rfam family "Guanidine-II riboswitch aptamer (mini-ykkC)". From Rfam's summary of the family: Simpler in structure and has fewer highly conserved nucleotide positions than the ykkC-yxkD leader. Despite this each of its two stem-loop structures directly bind free guanidine. Lineage: Bacteria; Bacillati; Actinomycetota; Actinomycetes; Mycobacteriales; Corynebacteriaceae. The record is from Rfam by way of RNAcentral. RNAcentral also lists the same sequence under 1 other name.